UGUCAACUCCAAAUGCCUUGGUACAAAAGGAAAACAGCUGGAAGAAAACUACUUUCGGAGAACUUUUCAGGGAAAGAUUAUACAGUGUGUCUGUCACAAGGAAGAGUCUGGCUGAAUACAUGAAUAAUGUAUGCAGCAGACGGGAAACAGGGUUGGGUUUUUUUUUUCCCCUUUGUCUCAUUUGAAUCUUCUAUGUCGGUGUCAAGAAGGAACAGGUAAAAGUCUAAGUCUGAGAAGACCGCAGCAGGACAAAAUGGCAUCCAAUGUAAGACUGCAACUGAACAGCGAGGGCGUGUCCGAGGGCGGAGCUGCUCUUCAUUCCAAUCCCGGGUGUUUGAGACACUGAGUUGAAAACCAAGUGAAGGAACCAAAGAACAUCCCAGGUAAGGGUCAGAGACCACAAGAUACAUCCCAGAGGAAACAGCACAACCGCGUCUAAAAGCCAUGCCGCCUCAACUCAGUGUUCUCUUCAUUGGUCCCUGCCAGCUCUCCCAAAAGGAUGCAAUGCAUGCACCUCAGAUUCUGUCUACCAAGAACCAGGGUUAUAAGACUACGGUAUAUCAGUGCAAGGAAAAGCUACCGUUCCAUGAAGAAAGACACUGUGCAAUGAUCUGUUGUUACCUGUGACUCCACAGUCCCUCUCCCUCUGCCAGAACUAUUUUACCCGCUAAACCAGGGGUGUAUCUUUGGACUCUUUGCCAUCAAACAUCAUUCUUCUUCCCAAAGGAAUUUUAAAUACUUCUUUUCAAGCACAGAGGAGCCAGCUUUUCACCCCCUGCCUCUGAAAGAACCUACAGAGAUCACAAAGAUAUAUUUGACCCGGCUCAGAUGCUCCAAGAAUACAGUUCACAAGACCAUCCCACUUCAUUACCACAGAGGGAAGAGCCUAAGAAUCUGAUCCCUUCGGCACCAUGCAAGUGAUUGUUUUUAAGAUGCAUUUGGCCAGGGCUACACAGAGAAACCCUGUCUCAAAAAAAAAAAAAGAUGCAUUUGUUGUCUUCACAAUGCCAGCAAUGAAUCAUUUGCAUUCUUAAAGACAAGCUGGCUGGACUCACCAUCCCCCAAACAGUAGCUCAUCAGGCUGACAUGGACGUGAAAUGGACAAGCUGAAUUGACCUUGUGAGGAGCUCCAUCUGUGGACUGGGGCAGUUGACCUGAGUCCACUUGGGUUUAAGUCCUGGUCCUGCCCUCCAUCACAAAGGUCUGUGGCCUGGUUUAACCUCAUUCAGUUUUAUUUCCUUCUCUGUAGAGAGCCACCCUCGUGGGCUUCAGUGAUACAACAUGUCUGAUGCACACAAAGAUGCGAGGUGUACAGAACACUUGCUGCCGCUGAUCCUGGCAUGCUGCUGGGUGCACGGUAAAUGAUAGCUCUUUUUAUUGGGAC
Molecule: long non-coding RNA, 1384 nt
Organism: Mus musculus (house mouse)
Lineage: Eukaryota; Metazoa; Chordata; Mammalia; Rodentia; Muridae
Product: predicted gene, 36005
Exons: 3
Source: RefSeq, a predicted model, not a curated record